Long non-coding RNA from Corvus hawaiiensis (hawaiian crow), 2429 nucleotides. RefSeq lists it as uncharacterized. The record is from RefSeq and is a predicted model, not a curated record. The transcript is spliced from 2 exons. Lineage: Eukaryota; Metazoa; Chordata; Aves; Passeriformes; Corvidae.
AGUACCUGCAGCACAGAUGCACAAAACUCUACCAAGCUCUUGGAAAUUAUUGUGAGAAAUGAAUUCAGUUUCUUGGGGGCAGCUUGGUUCUUUGUGUUCCAACAAGAAAGAUUUGAUAAGAACAGAGAGUACUUUGCAGACACAUCACAGCCUCAGUCACAUGUUUAAAUCCUUCCUUAAGUAGCUACAAACCCGGUGUGAUUCAAUGCCACUCAGUGGCACGGUGGUGGAAAGGAUGCUCCAGGCAAAAGCAGAAAUACUUCUGCCCUAAAAUCAUAACCUAUUUAUCUUCCAAACUAUCUAAGCAUAUCACAUGCCAUAAACAAUUCCUGAGCUAGGAACUAAUCCUUUUAGAAGAGGAAAAGAAGGUGCACUUGAGGCAGAGCCUGAACCAAGAUGAGCAAUUAACUUAUACCAAAAGGCCCUUCUCACUUCUAUCCCUGCUGCUGGAAGUUUUUUAAAGGAUAUUAUUUUUGUUGUGUUGCUCAGCAGGACUUGGAAUUCUUGAAGCAGGUUUUGAUGUCUGAGAGGAAGGGAUUCAUCUCCCUCACAACAGGAGCAGCUGCAGGAAGUUCUACUGCAGGAUGAGGCUUAAGGAGUUCUCCACGGAAAGAGAAAGGACAGGCAAGAGGAAGAGUGGAAAUUGAUUUUCAGAAGUGCUUUGACCUGCAGCGCUGUCAGCCGCCACCUCCUCCAGCUACACCUUGGCCCGAAGGCCUCCAAACCCCAAACGCACCAACCUCAGGAUGGUUUCAGCGGUGCCACAGCUCUCCAAAGGCACGGAAUACCCGACCUCGUGGCCGAGGUUGACGUCCAUCUGGUCAGCCACGCGCAGGGCCAGCCCCAGGGCGGCCUGGCGGAGCACCUGCGUGCACACCACGGCCCUGCGGGGCCGCACGGCCAGGCAGUGCUCAGCACACCACUGCGGGACCUGCAGGGACACCAGGACACCAGGGGUUAGUGCUGGACCUGCUUAGCUGGGACUGGAAUUCCGAGCAAUUGGAAUUCUUUCAGCCCCAUGGAACAACUCAAUCAAGCUGGGUGCUCGCUGCUCGCCGGCGGCUGCGCCACGCACGGGAAUUAUCAAUGUCAGCACCUGGGAUCUCUUAAAUUCUCAACAGGGACUGGAAGGUUUAUCUGGGAAUUGUUCCGCUGGACUCAGGCGAGUUGGAAUUUACUGCAGAAGGGGCAGAAGUGGCCUCUGGGGAGCAGGUGACAGCAGGGUCACUAUGAGAAUGUGCUGAUGGAUCCAGCGAGCUCGGUGCUGUUGAGUUCCGAGCUGGCUCAGCAGCAAACCUGCCCCUGCUGCUCCAUACCCAUGGAAAACAUGUCCCAGGAAAAACAGGAUUUCAAGCUGACAAAUGUCACAGCCAGUAUCUGUAAUUUCAGAUGAAUUACUCUGCAAACAGAGAUAACUGAAACUGAACUGCUGCCGGAACUUACACAGCAGCUCUCUGAUUUAUAUAUUUACAUAACAUCAACACUAGAAAAUAUUCAUGUGUUGUUGUUAUGAGAAAUUAAAAUUGCAUUAUAAAUAUUAUUUUAAUGGACAUAUUAGGUUUCAAAUCCUUCAUUUAAACUAGGUGCAUCAACCACAUAUAAUUUAUUUCUGGAUAGUUAUAUGCUUUUCUAGAAAUGCUUAAAAACCAAGCAGCAAUGUGCUACAUCUUAUUAAAGGUUCAAUACAAAUUUCCUUGUUAAAGGGCAAUUUAAAAUCUAACAUUUCUUAGCAAGUUGUUUACUAUUACACAAGUUUUUUGUGUGUAAAUUACAGUCAAUAACAAGGGGUAAAUUCUUGGCACUCCAAAAGUUAUUCCAGGCCUCAGGUGGGUGUGUAUCAUUUUUAUUGGAAUGUAGGAAUUUUCAGGGAGAAGUGUGAUGUCUCUGGUUCAAUAUGUGAUCUCUAGAAACGUCCAGCAUUGAAGUCUCUAGGAUAUAUGAAAUGCCCUGCAACAGUAAAUAUCCUACAGCUUUACCUGCAAGAAAGUUUUCUCCUGAUCCCAGUCAUAAACAAUAAUAUCUUGGCUGGUAACACUUGAAAAUUCUUGUCUGCUCACUGUGACAACAGACCUGGGUUGUUAUAUAUUGUUAGAGCAGAAUUUCAUAGUCCUGGCUGAUAUUUGUGUGCUUAGACUCAACUGAGAUCUUGGCUUCAGUGAUGUCUUUUAACAUGAGUUUUGUAAAGUAAUUUUGUGCUGUUGCAGAGAACAUUUGCUCCUGGCUGAAGGGAGGGAAAGACCAUUAAUUCUCCCUGAGAAGCAGCCCUGCUGAUUUCAGUCCUUCACUCCCUGAGAAAUUUUUUCACCUUCUGACAAACCCCCUGUAUUUCUUUCCUGAUACAGCACCAAUCAGAACCAAAACUCAAAGUGGAAAUUUUUUUGAGUACUAGAAGAAAGUUAUUAAAAUGUUUAAUGUAUUUUAAAUCUGUA